UCGGCCCCGGCGGGGCGCCCCGGGCAGCGCGGAGCUCCGCGCGGCCGCCGCGGGCCGGGACGCGCCGCUCUGCUGCAGCGGGGCUUUGCGUUACCCUCGGGACAUCCAGAAAUGGGAGAUGGUUCCUCCUUUAUUGGAAGUGAAAUCUCUGCAACAAAAGAAAUCCCCAUGGUUGAAUUCAGAGAAGGCAGCCUGAGGAAAUGAAAUGUACCUUCCGAAGGGUAGGGAGCAGCUCAAUACCGUAUGCAGGAUUCCCCACCUAGUGGACAGUCAAUAAAAUGAACUUAUUUCUAUCCUAAUACAAACUAGUUAAUGUAUCCACACUUGUCUUUUGCUGCCUGUUUUAACAGAAUGGUUUGGUUUCUACCAUAUAAUUCUAAUUCCUUUUAACUAUGGAUAUCUGAGUAGUGAGGGACGGGCAAGAGAUGUAACUAAUGAACUCGAGUACGAGCUGUAAAUUUGGUUACUGGUAUAUGAACCUUUAUUUCUUCAACUGAUGGUGCAUACACUCAGUGCAAAUAAUUUCAAGCAGUGUCUUCUUAUAUUUUUAAGUUAAAGGUAGAGGAAAAGGAGUUAUGAAUGUAUGGGUGCAUAAGACUGGUAUUUUAUAUUCAGUAUCACUCCCAGAUAACUUAUGACAAAGGUGUGUCAAAUCUUGGCCCAGGAAUGAAGAUAAAGCUAAGGUAAGCUUUGUGGAGUACAGUCUGAAUACCAAAUCAAAUCUUAUCUUCUGUGAGAGACUUUAUCCUAGUUUUUGUUAACCACCUGUCACUCAUCUCUGUGAAAACUGUUGGUACUUUCCAGCUAUCUACCACUGAGGUGUGUGGCUGUGGAGUUGUCUCCUUAUUGCUAAAUGAUUUGAAGAACAAGGGCCAUGCAGUAGCUAGAAUGUUAAGAGACAACUCAAGUGUGUAGGUGAAAAUAGACAGAUUAUCUGGUUUGCAUAAAACUCUAAGCUACCUCAGAAAGUCCAGAUGGAUGCAAGGGAAAACAGGCAUGGAAAACAACCAUUUAUGGAGGUGAUCAGUAUUACAAAGACCAGCUUCACCAAAAAGUGUUAAAUGAACAAGUAGCAUUACUCACAGUUCAUUAACUCAAUCUACCCUGCUGAAAUAUCCAAACUUGAUGAAAUGCAAACAGCAGACAGGUAGAUCUAAUGCUGAAUUCAUAGAGUGUCCUGAGUUGUGGUACCACAUCAGUAUUUAACAUUCUGAUGUAAAACAGAGUGCAGUUGCACUGUCUGUGUAAAAGAUGGCAGUAGAUGUGUGAGGAUUACCAGCUAGGACAGGCAGGCUGUUCUGCUCCAGGACAGGCAGAUGAAGACUAAAGUCAGCUGGCAACUCUGUGGUCUCCAUGACAACUGAGCUGAAUAGGGGAGACAGCACAGGGUGCAAUUCUUGGUUAUCUCCUACAAUCAUUUCAAGAACUUCCAGACAGCCAGGGAAGCAAGCUGCUAGUCUCUGGCACGUGCCUCAGGAUGACUGGAGAAUUUCUUGCUGUUGGACCAGUGGAAUUAACGAGCUUGCGGUCCUUUUCCGACACAUCGAACUCCAUGGCUGAGAUGCUGCCGCGACUCUGAUUAUCAUCGCUUACGUUUGCUCUUAGUGGCGAAGAACUUAAGAACUGGGAAGGUGACAUCAUGGUCAUCAUUUCUGUGAAAGUAUCUGCCAUACUAGUAUCAUCUGUGCUUAGAUUAGAUUGUUCUGAAGGCGAGGGAGAUAUGGGCAAAGGAGAGCUGAUGUUUUCAGUAUUUACUGCUUUGCAGCCAGGUCCAGUAGAUGUUUUUUCUGGAGGGAAGCUGGAUAUCGUAUUGGCUACUGGUUUAUUUAGUGUUGCAACAGGAAAUGCCACAGUCACUUCCCCAGUGUUACCUGUGGCCACAGUAGAAGUGGUUACUGUAACAGAGCUACUAGUAGCAACCCCAUUGUUAUUAAGAUCUUGAUAGGGUUUCAGACGCUCAAUAAGAUCUGUUUUUGUUCCAGACACUGGUAAUCCCCUCAAUUUCAACUCCAUUUUAAGCUCUGCUACCUGAAAUAAAAUAAAGCACAACAGUAAAAGAUCAUGAAAUAUUAAACCUUAUUUCUCAACAUUCUAUGUUAUUACAUCUUAAUAAGAAAAAAUAUUUUUCAGCAUACUCAGAAGUUAUUAACCUCUGGCUUCUGAGAUAAUGCACAAGCCACGAGCACAUUUCCAUGAUGUGCUACUUGCACUGUUGAAGUGGCCAAAAUUUGAGCAGUGAAUAGUAGCAAAGUUAUGCUGAUUUUUCAUAAAUAUUCAAAACAGGAAAACAAACACACAUCUCCAGUUCUGGGCUAAACACUUCUGAAACAAAACUGCAGAUGAUGGCAGCAGGGCAGAUGGAAGCACUAACCACAAGCAUGUUGAAGCCCUCUGUUACACCAUCAGGACAACUAUUUCUCUAUUUCUGAGAAAUUUUAUCAGGUCAGCUGGAGGACCCAUCAAAUACAAAAGGCUCUCCCUCUGAUUAGCAACAUAACUGUUACAGCUACAUGCCAUCUGGGUUGUUGUACAAACAUAAGAAGUACAAUCAGUCAAAAUUAAUCUAAUUUAUGAUGGAAAAACAUUCUCAAAUCUCCAAUAAGCUUAGGAAGUGAAGUGCAAAUGUGUUGAGUGUAAAUUAAUUCAGUGCUUCAGAAUACCAAUUAAAAAAGAACAGUCACAAUGAAUGGCUUCUGCUUAUGGCAUACAUACACCACGCCUAACUAUAGAGUGUCUGGGGCUAUAUGUAGGUUAGAACUACCUCUAAAAGAAUAAAAGGUAGUGAUGUCAGUAAUAUUUCAGUACUUUUCCAGCCUAGAAAUUUAAAUUACAGAUCCUCAUGAUUUGAAAUGCUGAAAAGUUACAGCAAUCCAUUUAACAUCUGUGAGAACCACAGUGACUUCACAUUAAAUAACCGCCACCGUGACCAGUGGCUGUUUUGCCCAGUCUGGUAUCUUCUACGUUUGCUUGAGAGCACAUUCCAACUUCUCUAUUUUUCAACAACGUAGUCUGCAAUCCUUCAUCAGAACUGAUUUAGAUGAUUCAGUGUUAAAACCACCAACAGAAGGUCUGCAAAUAUGGCUCACAUUACUGUUACCCACAUUAGCAGGAAUAACAAUACAUUACGCAGCAAUGGGUAAGUUAACAGCUUUAAUCUCUGCAAAGCACAGACUCAGACAUCAACUUAAACAUCUUAAAAAGUUAACAGCUAAUAACCCCAAGUUUGAAAAGCUUAUUUCAAACACUGUCAUUUGAAUAGCACUUUAUAGACUUGUUUCAUAUUAAAAGAUUGCCUUUAACUGCCAACAAUAUAUUCCCCAUUUGAGAGUCUGACCUCAUUUUUUAAUCCUUUCAAGCCUAAAAAAAUACCCACUGCCACCCCUCAGAACCUAGCACUAGGUGCAGGGAGGGAGUGGGGACUGCUCACAUGGCCCUGGACCUGCUAGAGAAAGGCCCUGGACCUGAACUCCAUGAGCUUCUCCAGAUUCGUUUGCAUUAGGUCUCUCCUGUUACUGUAUUUCUGAAGGAAGAAAAUCUCAUGCAAUGCCUUUACAUUUGAACCACUGAGUGUCUCGCAUUGGAAGGGACCCAUACAGAUCAUCACAUCUAACCUCCUGCUCCUUGCAGGACUACCUAAAGCUACACCACAUAAUUAAGAGCAUCAUCUAGAUGCUCCUUGAACUUGUUUACACUGUUACUUGUAACUUCAAGAAGCUUUUCUGAAAUUUAGUGUUGCUUUUCAGAUGAUGUUGAACUCUGGUAAGAAGAUCUCUUCUCUUUUGCUAGUGUUAUUUGUGUGUUGGCUUGACAGCAGUUAACUCUCUGAAUAUGUUAUUUAUUAGGCCAUCUUUUAACUCAUGCUGCUUAGCUAAACUUUACUGAUAUACUAACAUUAUCAUGAGGAAAUUCCUAUUCCAGUGUUUGAAUCUGCCAGGGCUAAAACUUCACAUAAAGUGCACCUCGUAAUUUACCCACGGUAUUAAAUGAUGUACCUCAACGAUUUAUUUGAAAUUCUUCUUCCUCUUCUAAUUCUUUGGGAAGGAAAUGCCAUUGCUAGAACCCAAGCAGGUGAGGACACUAAAUCAAACCCAAUUUUUAAGUUCAGAAGAGCUGAUCACAAAAAGGCUGACAAUCUUAUUCUCAACAGUUAAGAGGACAGUACAGUUUUCAUUGGUAAAUAACAUCCAGACUUUUUCUUGACAGUAACAGCUUGUAAGUUAUGACCUAUAGUGAUGAAUAUGAAUGGACUCUUAUUUUUUACCUUCAAGUCAUCCAGGCUUGAAGGCAGAGGUCCUGGUUUCCGGCUGGGAAUAGUAGUGUUCUGUCUGGGUGAGCUGGCAGCUGAGGUUGGUGUAUUGUUGUUCAGAGUAUUCAGUGGCGUAUUCCCAUUGCUGCUCUGUUUGUCAUUUAGUGGCCUUCAAGUGAUAAGAAAGGGGAGGAUAAUCAUAUUAACGCCAAACACAUUCUCAAUCAAGAAACUAUGAUUCUGACUCUAAUGUCUGUCAAGUUAAUGAACAAAUUAAUAGUUUUUAUAAACAGAUAUUUAACAUAAGACAGGAGUGUUAAGUAUUUUUAGUAAAACAGCACAGAGAAGAAAAGCUAACGGCGAGUAGUACCUUGCCAUUUUACUUUCUCUUCAGUGAAGUGUAUUACCUUACACUUCAUCCUUUUUGUUAUUGUCAUGCUACCCCUGGAGGUUACUAAGGACUGCAGAAUUAGUUGAUACAAAUUAAUCACCAGCCUGGGCAACUAGUUAAAGUUUUUUGGUUGCCAUCAGUUAAAAGCCCCCGCAAUAUCAACCCUACAUGGAUGUCCAAUAUUCAUCCGUGACAAGCAGCGCUGUGAAGGCAGCUCACUCUGAAGAUGACGCACAUUUCUCAGCUGUACUCGUAAGAAGAAUCUCAUAGAAAGAUCUCAAAAUAAUUGUAAAAAGUUUUUUCAAAUGCCAUCUAGGCACUACUAGGAACCAUAAGUCAGCUCUUCUGUGUAGUUCAACUGAUUUAUGAAGAAAUGUUUCUGAAAUGUCAGUAAAUGGAACAUAAGAAGCGUGGGUAAGCAGGCAGAAACAUCUCUAGUCCAAAUGUUAGGAUACAUGGUAAUUAUAACUGUAACCACAGAUGGUAUCUUUAACUUCUCUAGUCUCACUUGCUGAGGAAAAACAACCCAGUGAAAAUUUAUUUAAAAAAAACCCAGUUGAAAGUCAUUUGAAUUUAGAGUUGUGUGACUGUGGCAUGUUACACUAUAAGCACUUCUAGGAAAAGACCGGUCUUAGGUGGUGAGAAUGGAACUGUGCAGACAUUCAUUCUCUCAUUCUGCUACAGGGUGCUGGCAACUCUUCAAAAAUCUACUUUUCUGAGUGUUUCUAUCUAUAAAUCAGAAAGUCUACUUCUCACUGUUAUAAGUGCUGAAGAUCAAUACUAAUGAGGAACUAACAUAAGCAUUAGAGAGGAGGCUAUAAACAAUACACAAAUCUUACCCAAUUUAAAAUGACUGUUUCUUCUUAUUUGUAAACUGCAAAAACGUGGUCUGUGAAACUGAUGUAAAAAGACAAUAAACCCACAACAA
Colius striatus (speckled mousebird) is the source of this 5565-nucleotide long non-coding RNA. RefSeq lists it as uncharacterized. The record is from RefSeq and is a predicted model, not a curated record. Lineage: Eukaryota; Metazoa; Chordata; Aves; Coliiformes; Coliidae. The transcript has 4 exons.